Molecule: ribosomal RNA, 462 nt
Filed under: uncultured bacterium
Lineage: Bacteria
Description: partial 16S ribosomal RNA
Rfam family: Bacterial small subunit ribosomal RNA
Source: RNAcentral
GAUCAACGCUGGCGGCGUGCUUAACACAUGCAAGUCGAACGAAGUUUUUCCUUCGGGAGAAACUUAGUGGCGGACGGGUGAGUAACGCGUGGGUAACCUGCCCUGUACAGGGGGACAACAGCUGGAAACGGCUGCUAAUACCGCAUAAGCACUUAGCACUGCAUGGUGCAUAGGGAAAAGGAGCAAUCCGGUACAGGAUGGACCCGCGUCUGAUUAGCCAGUUGGCAGGGUAACGGCCUACCAAAGCGACGAUCAGUAGCCGAUCUGAGAGGAUGUACGGCCACAUUGGGACUGAGACACGGCCCAGACUCCUACGGGAGGCAGCAGUGGGGAAUAUUGCACAAUGGAGGAAACUCUGAUGCAGCGACGCCGCGUGAGUGAAGAAGUAUUUCGGUAUGUAAAGCUCUAUCAGCAGGGAAGAAAAUGACGGUACCUGACGAAGAAGCACCGGCUAAAUACGUG